RNAcentral lists this ribosomal RNA (590 nucleotides) under Epalzeorhynchos frenatum (rainbow sharkminnow). RNAcentral's name for it is "partial 16S ribosomal RNA". It matches the Rfam family "Bacterial large subunit ribosomal RNA", at positions 1811 to 2603 of the family's 2925-position model. The record is from RNAcentral. Lineage: Eukaryota; Metazoa; Chordata; Actinopteri; Cypriniformes; Cyprinidae.
AAACAUCGCCUCCUGCAACACAACCAAGUAUAGGAGGUCCAGCCUGCCCAGUGACUACAAGUUCAACGGCCGCGGUAUUUUGACCGUGCAAAGGUAGCGCAAUCACUUGUCUUUUAAAUAGAGACCUGUAUGAAUGGCUAAACGAGGGCUUAACUGUCUCCCAUUUCCAGUCAGUGAAAUUGAUCUGCCCGUGCAGAAGCGGACAUAAUAAUACAAGACGAGAAGACCCUUUGGAGCUUAAGGUACAAAAUUCAACCAUGUCAAACAACUCACUAAAAAGCAAAAACUUUGUGGAAAAUGAAAUUUUACCUUCGGUUGGGGCGACCACGGAGAAAAAAUAAGCCUCCAAGUGGAUUGGGAAAAUUUUCCUAAAACCAAGAGAGACAUCUCUAAGCCACAGAACUUCUGACCAAACAUGAUCCGGCCACAAAACCGAUCAACGAACCAAGUUACCCUAGGGAUAACAGCGCAAUCCUCUCCCAGAGUCCAUAUCGACGAGGGGGUUUACGACCUCGAUGUUGGAUCAGGACAUCCUAAUGGUGCAGCCGCUAUUAAGGGUUCGUUUGUUCAACGAUUAAAGUCCUACGUGA